ACUUUAAAGUUCAUAUGGAACAAAAAAAGAGCCCACAUUGCCAAGACAAUCCUAAGCAAAAAGAACAAAGCUGGAGGCAGCACGCUACCUGACUUCAAACUAUAGUACAAGACUACAGUAACCAAAACAGCAUGGUAGUGGUACCAAAACAGAUAUAUAGACAAAUGGAACAGAACAGAGGCCGCAGAAAUAACACCACACAUCUACAACCAUCUGAUCUUUGACAAACCUGACAAAAACAAGCAUGGGGAAAGGAUUUCCUGUUUAAUAAAUGGUGCUGGGAAAACUGGCUA
RNAcentral lists this long non-coding RNA (293 nucleotides) under Homo sapiens (human). RNAcentral describes it as "HSALNT0103953". Lineage: Eukaryota; Metazoa; Chordata; Mammalia; Primates; Hominidae. The record is from RNAcentral.